UCUAGGAGCUGUCAGAUUAAACCCCCAGACCCACAAGAAAAUCCCUGAAGCUUCGUUGACUUUUGCUGAUGGAGCCUCUCUGAAGGGCAAAUUCAAAGUACAGCUGGGUGCUGCAGCACUGGAGUGCGAACUUGUGGCUGUGGUUAUGAAGGAGCCUCGUCAGCUAUGCCUUUAGCCCCUGGUGAAGCAGUGCCAGUCACACUUUGCCAGUCAAACGGAGAGGCAGCAGUAGUAAGACCAGACCAAAUCAAACCAAACCAAGCAAACCACGGGGAAUGGAGGUCAUGUGAGCACACAGCAUAAAGGCAGCUGCCCACAAGCCAGGAAGAGAAGCAUCAUCAGAAACCGACCAUACUGGCUUCCUGAUCUCAGACUUUCAGCCUCCAGAAUGGAUAUAUUUGGCAUUAAACUCGGGACAAAAGAAGACACAAACUUUAUCUUGUGGUUUGGGUCCUCCAAUCCUCAUAAAAGUGUGGUUUCACCUGUUACCUCAUAAAGGUGCCAUUGCUGUAUGCACAUCUGAAUCUGUUUACAAUUUGAGAAUAGAGAUUAUUGCCUGCUCCUCCAAGCCCUUCACUGUAGAAUGGAAGCCUGUGAUUUUCCUGGCAUCAUGCAUGACUGAGAAGGUCAGUGUGGCUAAUUCUGAGCUUCAACAUCAGGAAACCCGUAGUUCUUCACACUGAGCCGCCUCCUGCAGCACAGUCAUCCUUGGUAAUAAAGCUGAUAUUUUAAUCAA
RNAcentral lists this long non-coding RNA (736 nucleotides) under Homo sapiens (human). RNAcentral describes it as "lncAB142.1". Lineage: Eukaryota; Metazoa; Chordata; Mammalia; Primates; Hominidae. The record is from RNAcentral.